AUUGAACGCUGGCGGCAUGCCUUACACAUGCAAGUCGAACGGUAACAGGUCUUCGGAUGCUGACGAGUGGCGAACGGGUGAGUAAUACAUCGGAACGUGCCCGAUCGUGGGGGAUAACGGAGCGAAAGCUUUGCUAAUACCGCAUACGAUCUACGGAUGAAAGCAGGGGACCGCAAGGCCUUGCGCGGACGGAGCGGCCGAUGGCAGAUUAGGUAGUUGGUGGGAUAAAAGCUUACCAAGCCGACGAUCUGUAGCUGGUNUGAGAGGACGACCAGCCACACUGGGACUGAGACACGGCCCAGACUCCUACGGGAGGCAGCAGUGGGGAAUUUUGGACAAUGGGCGCAAGCCUGAUCCAGCCAUGCCGCGUGCAGGAUGAAGGCCUUCGGGUUGUAAACUGCUUUUGUACGGAACGAAAAGACUCUGGUUAAUACCUGGGGUCCAUGACGGUACCGUAAGAAUAAGCACCGGCUAA
Molecule: ribosomal RNA, 475 nt
Filed under: uncultured bacterium
Lineage: Bacteria
Description: bacterial SSU rRNA
Rfam family: Bacterial small subunit ribosomal RNA
Source: RNAcentral